GCCCCCGUAGCGCAAUGGUAGCGCGUAAGACUGUACGUUCACACAUCAACCUCAUCAUCUAACGACCCUUCAACUAAUAAAUCAACAGUCUAGGUACCAAGCCAUCUUAAGGUUGCGGGUUCGAGCCCCGCCGGGGGCU
Molecule: transfer RNA, 139 nt
Filed under: Aspergillus tamarii
Lineage: Eukaryota; Fungi; Ascomycota; Eurotiomycetes; Eurotiales; Aspergillaceae
Rfam family: tRNA
About the family: Transfer RNA (tRNA) molecules are approximately 80 nucleotides in length.
Source: Rfam by way of RNAcentral